CCUGUUCGAGCGUCAUUUGUACCCUCAAGCUUUGCUUGGUGUUGGGCGUUUGUCCUGCGGGACUCGCCUUAAAACAAUUGGCAGCCGGCACACUGGUUUGGAGCGCAGCACAAAUUGCGGUCCAGCCAUGAAUGUCGGCGUCCAUGAAGCCCUAUUUCACUUUUGACCUCGGAUCAGGUAGGGAUACCCGCUGAACUUAA
RNAcentral lists this unclassified non-coding RNA (200 nucleotides) under soil metagenome. RNAcentral describes it as "partial contains internal transcribed spacer 2 and large subunit ribosomal RNA". The record is from RNAcentral.